RNAcentral lists this ribosomal RNA (495 nucleotides) under uncultured bacterium. Its description in RNAcentral is "bacterial SSU rRNA". It matches the Rfam family "Bacterial small subunit ribosomal RNA", at positions 24 to 518 of the family's 1533-position model. The record is from RNAcentral.
UCAGGAUGAACGCUGGCGGCGUGCCUAAUACAUGCAAGUCGAACGAAGCACCUCGGUGCUUAGUGGCGAACGGGUGAGUAACACGUGGGUAACCUGCCCUCAAGACGAGGAUAACCGUUGGAAACGAUGGCUAAGACUGGGUAGGAAUACGGGAGGCAUCUUCUGUAUUUUAAAAGACCUGGCAACAGGUAUGCUUGAGGAGGGGCCUGCGGCGCAUUAGUUAGUUGGUGAGGUGAUGGCUCACCAAGACGAUGAUGCGUAGCCGGACUGAGAGGUUGAACGGCCACAUUGGGACUGAGAGACGGCCCAAACUCCUACGGGAGGCAGCAGUAAGGAAUUUUCGGCAAUGGGGGAAACCCUGACCGAGCAACGCCGCGUGAACGACGAAGUACUUCGGUAUGUAAAGUUCUUUUAAGAGGGAAGAAUGGCCCGUGGAAAAGCGGGCGUGACGGUACCUUUUGAAUAAGCCCCGGCUAACUAUGUGCCAGCCGCCGC